AUGAUUAGUUCUCUAUCCAUUGCUAGCUGGAAUGUGCGGGGGUUGAAUAAUAGGGCGAGGCGGGCUGCGGUACGCGCCUUACUUGAUCAGCUCUCUUGCUCGAUCGUCUGUCUGCAGGAAUCAAAGCUUGACCAGGCUGCUGAUGCUGACAUCACUGAAAUAGCCGGGCCUGUGUUUGAUAAGCAUGUCAUGCUUCCAGCCGACGUCACUCGUGGUGGAGUGCUGCUCUGUUGGCGCUCGGACCGCUUCUGUGUGUCUGCUGCCGAUGUGCGCAGGUUCUCGAUAACAGCCACGUUCACUCCAACUGGAGCCCAGGGACAUACGGCGUCUUGGACGCUAACCACGGUUUACGGCCCUCACGACUACGAGCGAAAGCAAGCUUUCUUGAAUGAGCUUGCCGAUAUUCAUAACACCGUGCAGUGGCCAUGGUUAAUUAUUGGGGAUUUCGAUCUGAUCAUGGAUCCAAGAGAUAAAAAUAACAACCGAGUCUGUCGUCGAUGGAUGAACAAGUUUCGUUGA
Molecule: ribosomal RNA, 519 nt
Filed under: Triticum aestivum (bread wheat)
Lineage: Eukaryota; Viridiplantae; Streptophyta; Magnoliopsida; Poales; Poaceae
Description: partial small subunit ribosomal RNA
Source: RNAcentral